This 206-nucleotide long non-coding RNA is filed under the name Elaeis guineensis (African oil palm). RNAcentral describes it as "long non-coding RNA (EGUI_LNC046521)". Lineage: Eukaryota; Viridiplantae; Streptophyta; Magnoliopsida; Arecales; Arecaceae. The record is from RNAcentral.
ACCGACGAGACAAAUAUCUCUUCAGUGAAUUUCUAAUAUAUUUAGAAGAGAAUAAGAUUCUCUCGUAGUGGAUUUCUCUUGGAACAUCACAAUACAAUAGUGUGUCUAAAAGGAGAAAUCGAAUCCUGUUAGACAUGGUUCGAUCCAUAAUGGGCUUUGCAAGUCUGUCGAUCUUCUUUUGAAGAUAUGCACUCGAAUUGACUUAU